This 2819-nucleotide long non-coding RNA is filed under the name Triticum aestivum (bread wheat). RNAcentral describes it as "long non-coding RNA (TAES_LNC024746)". The record is from RNAcentral. Lineage: Eukaryota; Viridiplantae; Streptophyta; Magnoliopsida; Poales; Poaceae.
GCCAGACAAUAACAAAUCUACAUCCAGCAUGUCAUUUCGGAUGGUAUUAUCAAACGAGAGUAGUUUUAGCUGUAAACUAAAUUAAAACUAUGAAGUUCCCCAUCAAACUAUGUAGCUGAAGACUCCGUAAUCCAGAUUCCACAGUUAACACUGAUCAAAUUAGCCAAUGAACAGCCAGAAGACCAUAAGAUGCAUGACAAAGCAUCUUAAAAUUCAGGAUGGGUGAAGCACGAACAAACAGGCAUAUGUUGCAAUGUAACUUGAGUUGAAAGUGUACAAUCAGCAGGAAUUAAUCAUCAAAUUAGCCUGAUUGUUUUGCUAGUUGUCAAUCAAAUUAAAACUAGUAAGUUCCCCAGCAACCAAGCAGAUGCAAUUGAAGAUUCCCUGAUCCAGAUCCCACUGAAGAAGCACCAAUGUGAAGAACGUUCACUUCUGAAAAUUCAAGUCCACAACCAACAAACCAGAAUCAUAUUUAGUGAAGAUGACACUAAAUUGAAGACAUGAGAAAGGUAGAGUAUUCAAGGCAAACUGUUUGUUCAAGUUUCAAGUUCAGAACCUUCAAUUCUGCAUUAUUUUAGUUCAUAGCAACAAUUCCUAACCUCUCUCGGCAUAUCGAGCCAUCAACACUAUCCAACUACAAAGUCAGGAGCCCACUACUGUUAAGUGUCAACACAGUAAUAAAUAAGAGAGCCAGCACGUGAUCUUUCUUUAUCACCAAAUUUCAAAGUCUGCGCAUGCCAAAAACUAAUUUUUGUGGCAUAAGAUGAGGCUGAAGAACUCACCAGGAAAAUUAACAAACCAAGUGCAAUCAUCGAGAAUAGUAUGUAGAAUGGUAGUCCGACAAAUCCAAGCAUGAACCCAAAGCAAUUCAAGUAUAUAUGGAGAUAAUUAGAGCUCAUGUACAUGCAACCUUUACUUCUCCUGUAAGGUGAUAAAUUUGCAAGCUAAAGGCCAAAAUUUGAUUACCUACUGUACAAACUUUGAGUACGAAAGUAGGAACCUCGUUUGAGACCAAAGGAUCUUCCACCAUUUACUUCUAGCCUUUUGUAUAUUCACUGGGAGCAAAACUGAGAUCAGAUUCCAUCAAAUUGCAUGCAAGUUAGCAGACACCAUAAACCAAGUAAUAUGCUUCAGGAAAAUCAAAAGAUUCAGAUGUACACACUAACUCCAAGUUGCACCAAAGAGGAUGAAGCCACUGAAUGCCAGUUCAAACUGAAAGCUGCCACAAAGACCAAAUCAUCAAGUAAUAUGCAUCAAAAUCACUAAUCAGAAGUCAAAACCAUCAGGGAAGCAGACACAGUCGAGCCUGAUGGCUUCACCAAGUCCCUGCACCAACUGACGUUUUGCUAUACUUUCCAACUCUACAAUCUUGUACUAACACCUCCAACACUGCAAAUGCACGAACAACCCAAAUAAAAGGCAUACUUCAAAAAAUCUUCAGAAGAAGUGAGGCAUAAUUAUGAAGUCUAGGUAGAGAGUACUAAGAUUUUGAGGUUGUAGAAAACUCUUCCAUCCAGAAGCCCUGAACUCUGCGGAUCAAUUUGAAUACUCAGACUAACAACUCAGGAAACUGGUUUUCUAACCGACAAAAUAGAAAAAUACGAAAUUAGAUCUUCAAACAGAUUUUCACGUAGCAUGACAUGCUCUUAUCUUAUAUGCUCUCAAACUUGAUAAUAUGGUAACUGUUCACUUAGGAGACUUGAUUGCACAGUCUAAUUUGCUAAAGUUCAUAUGCUUAGAAGAGAAAAACUGUAUCACAAAUGGAUAUAAAACCAAAGUAUCAAUGAGUGUGCCUCAUCCUUCCCACCGGGAAGCUCUAUUUAUGAGCAUCAUAUAGACUACUUCCAGUUGGCAGCAAGGCAUGCUAAUAGGCACACAAAAAGUUAACCUGUACAUGAUGUUUAUCUCUUAUAACAUCUAUCUUUGCAAAAGAAAAAAAAUGCAGAACAACCAAAUGUCAUCUAUGGAAUAAAAGCUUAGUAUUGUUAUCUAAAAUAGCACAUCAUAAGUCACCUAUCGUAUCAUCAUUUUUUUUUUUACUAAAUCUUAGUUCCAUGUCUACCAUAAUAAAUCAUCGAUCCUCUCAUCAAGAUGCAGCUAAACCUGUGCAUUUGCCAUGGCUGAAAAGUACCAUAUGCAUCCUAAUAAGUCACCUGGAGAUAAUUUGCUUGCAUGUAUUCUAAAGGCCUAUUGCUGGCCCUGCUCUUUAGCAGACACUGGAAGUAGCCGUGGCCACCAUAAAAAAAUUAACCAUCUGAUCUGUCCUGAAAAAACAUGCCCAACCAAAAUAUAAAAAGAAGAAAGGUAAAACACAACAUGAGCUAAAUUUUAUUUUUAUUAUCUCAUUUUAAAGUGUAAAGCAUGGAUUGCACAAUUGCACACAGAAAUUAAGGAGACAUAUGUCCAGAGCAGGGUCUGUACAGACCUUCUGACCAGCACCACCGAGCAUCAAAUAGAGGCAGAAAGAAAUCAAUGGUAUGUACAAAAAUUCAGUUGCUAGUUUGCUACUAUACCAUGCUUCAUCACACACGUACUACCACACAUCAAGUGUCUGCGGUACAAUUAAGAAGAUAGAAGCUGGCAGAUCAGGUGGAAUGCAUGGUGCAAAUUUGAAUUUUUGGAACAACCAUUCUGAUAUAUAGUUUACUUGCAAUAAAAAGCCUUGCCUAAACAGUACUUCAUAGAUCAUAAUAUGUCAAUUUUGAGGUAAGGGGACCACAUGGCAAGCACGAUGUCAUGGACCAAAUUUGAGGAAUAGUCUGCUCACACCAUUUCAGUGAACAACCGACGAAGUAGAGUGAUAAUAAGUGGGUGCUUAC